Molecule: ribosomal RNA, 497 nt
Filed under: uncultured bacterium
Lineage: Bacteria
Description: partial 16S ribosomal RNA
Rfam family: Bacterial small subunit ribosomal RNA
Source: RNAcentral
GACGAACGCUGGCGGCGUGCCUAAUACAUGCAAGUUGAGCGAUGAAGAUUGGUGCUUGCACCAAUUUGAAGAGCAGCGAACGGGUGAGUAACGCGUGGGGAAUCUGCCUUUGAGCGGGGGACAACAUUUGGAAACGAAUGCUAAUACCGCAUAAUAACUUUAAACAUAAGUUUUAAGUUUGAAAGAUGCAAUUGCAUCACUCAAAGAUGAUCCCGCGUUGUAUUAGCUAGUUGGUGAGGUAAAGGCUCACCAAGGCGAUGAUACAUAGCCGACCUGAGAGGGUGAUCGGCCACAUUGGGACUGAGACACGGCCCAAACUCCUACGGGAGGCAGCAGUAGGGAAUCUUCGGCAAUGGACGAAAGGCUGACCGAGCAACGCCGCGUGAGUGAAGAAGGGUUUCGGAUCGUAAAACUCUGUUGGUAGAGAAGAACGUUGGUGAGAGUGGAAAGCUCAUCAAGUGACGGUAACUACCCAGAAAGGGACGGCUAACUACGUG